RNAcentral lists this long non-coding RNA (1109 nucleotides) under Chelydra serpentina (North American snapping turtle). Its description in RNAcentral is "lncRNA (ENSCSRG00000000724.1)". Lineage: Eukaryota; Metazoa; Chordata; Testudines; Chelydridae. The record is from RNAcentral.
GAUCAAGUGCGCAUGCACCUCGGACGGACUUUGCUGCUGCCUGGCUGUUAGUGUCCAGGGGUGCGGCGCGGAUGGAGCCUGCCCCUUCCAGCAGAGAUGCUAUGAUAAAGCUCCUCGCAAAGCCUUGUAGCACACCAUGAAGAUUCUAGGGCAUCUUCUAAACAGAGUGCAUUGUCCAUCUGCUGUUGAACCUGUCAAAGAGCAAAGAAGGCCCCUAAAUAUGAAUAUCAAAUGGACUCCUUGAAGAUUGUACUAGACUUAAUGGCUAAGUUGUAAAUUUAGAGGGUGAAAUAUUGGACUAGCCAGAAACGUGCCCGCUGUUGAUCUUGUUGGAAUCCAGAGCGUGCAGAUCUCCAGGAUGGUGGAAGGCACAAUGAGGACUAGGUCAUCAAAGGAGGCAGACCUGCGCUGACCCUGCUGUCCCAAUCCAAUACUCCCACACGCUGCAUCACACUGAAGCCAAGCUGAGUGUCUUGGGGCUGGUAGCUGAUGGAUGAGCUGGACAAUGAUUUUAAAGAACUCUGUGCUAACCUAUUGAGCAGGGUCAAGAAAAAGGCUGGAGAUGCCGAGGGAGGGAGGAAGGUUCAGAGUGGGACAAGGAGCACUGCAACAAAAAGCAAAUUAAAAAAGAGUAAGUCAGCUGCUAAGAGCAAAAGCCAGCAUGACUCCUCUGUUGGAAAGAGAGUGGGCUGGCCAGGGUGCAUGGACCCCAAUGAGCAGGCAUUGGGGCAUGAACCAGAAGGUGAAGCUACAGCCUGUGGAAAUGAUGGGCCUCUACUGGGAGAUGGAAAUGGAGACCCUCCUUCUGCCAUUCAUUUGGAUGCUAUGGCACCAAACUGUAUCCAGAACAGCCUGGCAGGCAGUGACAAGCGCAGAUCAUCCUUUGCUCCUGCUGCAGAACCAGCAACCUCCACCUCAUCCCCUGCAAAGACGCUCCAGAUCUCAGGACGCAGGCUGCGGGUGGCAGAGCUGGUGCUGGAGAGGAUGCAGCAGUUUAAGAGAGUGGAACCAAGACAGCUGAAACACGCCCUGGGCAGCAGCUUGCCAGAGACAGUAACAGAUGGAAACAUCCCUGAUGUGAGCCAGGAGAAGAACCAACCAGGGAACGG